GCUUAGCCCUAAACACAGAUAAUUACAUAAACAAAUUAUUUGCCAGAGUACUACCAGCAACAGCUUAAAAACUCAAAGGGACUUGGCGGUGCUUUUAUAUCCUUC
RNAcentral lists this ribosomal RNA (105 nucleotides) under Chordata environmental sample. Its description in RNAcentral is "partial 12S ribosomal RNA". The record is from RNAcentral. Lineage: Eukaryota; Metazoa; Chordata.